AGGCACAGCCUUUUCUCCGGCUGGCUGCCCGCUCCUUUGCAGAGUCCCGGCAAGCACACUGGCACUGGCAGGCCUCCUCUUGUUUGAUGAUGAUGACAGGAACGCUGAGGCCAAUCUGCUGGACAGAGCUCCCUGUGAGAGAGGCGAGAGAGACCUGCUCUUCAGUUGGCCAGGAGCAGAGGCAAGAUGGCUCGGGGAGUAUGGUCUAGGGAGAACUGACUGCUGAGGAGCCAGGCGUGAUAGGUGGGAAAGAUGCCAUGCUUUACACUGGACCAGGUUCUUCCUCAGGGAAAAAGCCUGUGACAGGUGUUCCCCCAUCCCUUCCUUCUUAGAAGAGCCACCCACACCCGAUGCACCCUGUCCCUCUCUGCUGCCCAUCUGUGCAGGCCACAGCAAAUGCCUUUCUUCUCAUCUUCAGAUUCUAGGCUCUCCCUUUUGCUUAAACUGGCGGGCAGACAGUGCUGUGCUUUGGAAGAAUUACUCUCCUUUCAAGGUCUAGCUGACUCUCUCUGCUCUCUUCCUGCCCCGGGGGGUGUUCCCUUCAGGCUGCGCACAUGACGAACCAGUGGCGGCCAGACUCAGCACCAGGCAAGUGCACACAGCACAGCAGCUGGCCUUCUGCAGCCCUCUCCACACUGCACAGGACCUGCUUUCUAAGGACCCCCAGCUCCUCAGGACCCUGUCUGACAUAUGGGAGAUGUCAGCUGAUCUCUUACACAGCCAGCCUGCAUAGAACCUGGCAAAUACUAGGCUCUCACAACACACUGACAUGGCAGCCAGGUGGUGCCCAGAGUCAAGACCAAAUGCAUUCUUAGAGAAGUCCUCUGGGGCCAGUGGUGUACUCAGUGGUGGAUUAUUAGCUCAGCAUGUGUAUGGCAAUGGGUCUGAUCCCUUGCACUGCAAAAAGAAAAGAAGAAAGAAAACAGAUCUGCUUCCCUGACACAUUCCUGGGCCUCUGGGGUCUGUUGACUGCUCUCCUGCACACGAGAGUCCAACCUUCAGAUGUUACACACAAGUUGAUGUGGUCUGCCAAUGCUGAGCCAAAUCACUGCCAUCCUGGGACACAUGCAGCCCAUAGGCCACAGGCUGGGAGUGUCUGUGUGGCACUAGAUGAUGUGAUUAGCUUUAGAAGAAAUGUUCGUUCAGGCAUCUUCACCAGGUGGUGGAACAUCACUGACUGACUCCGUGUCACCGUUCAAACUGUCAAUCAAGGCAGCUGGCAAGGAAAAGAAGAAGAAAUGUGCAUCCACAUCCCAAGCUUCAUGGACACCACAAAAACACUUCACUGCUAGCUGGUCCAGCUUCCUGAUCCAGCACACUUUAUAAAGACGGGUACUAAAGGAAAAUUAACUAGCAUGAAAGUAUCCUGUGCUGCUUCUGCAGAGAGAAGAGGCAAGCUUUCCGGCAUGAUUUGUCAGAAGACAUCUGGCAGGGGAAGCAGUCUUGAACAGGCAUUCCACUUCAGCAGUGUUGCCUACACGUCAGAAGCCUCAUUUGUGGGUCCCACCCACUCAUGAAUGGGGCAGCACAAGGAGGGAGAAACGGCCACAGCUCCUGCUGUGCCUUUAAAUCCAACAAGAGAUUGCAAAGGAGACCUUCCCUAUGCAUCCCAGGGAGUUGGGGAAAAGAUGGACUGACAGGUGAAAACAUACCGGUCUGCAGAGGAUCAUCUUGAAUUGCAGGGUCAUCUGAAUUCUGGAACAUUGAUUCAAAGAUGAUUGCUGGUGAAAUUGUGCUGAGGUCCUGGUCCUGUGUCUGACAGGGAGAAAGGUGAGAUGCGUCAUCCUGAGAAAGUCUGCCCCUUGACUAACAUAAACAAAGCAGGGGACCUAGAAUGACCUUCUGAUAGGAUUCCUGAUCCUCUCUCCCUUUUGUAGGGACUGGAGACUGAACACAGGGCCCUGCACACCUCAGGCAAGCAUUGCACUCCCGAGCUACAUCCCCAGUACCCAUAGUUUUUUUGUUUUGAGACAGGGUCUCAUUAAAUUGCUCAAGCUGGUACUUA
This is a long non-coding RNA of Onychomys torridus (southern grasshopper mouse), 2005 nucleotides long. RefSeq lists it as uncharacterized. Lineage: Eukaryota; Metazoa; Chordata; Mammalia; Rodentia; Cricetidae. The transcript is spliced from 3 exons. The record is from RefSeq and is a predicted model, not a curated record.